CACGUAGGGCGCGAGCGUUGUCCGGAAUUAUUGGGCGUAAAGAGCUCGUAGGCGGCCUGUUGCGUCCGCUGUGAAAGCCCGGGGCUUAACCCCGGGUCGGCAGUGGAUACGGGCAGGCUAGAGGUAGGUAGGGGAGAAUGGAAUUCUCGGUGUAGCGGUGAAAUGCGCAGAUAUCGGGAGGAACACCGGUGGCGAAGGCGGUUCUCUGGGCCUUACCUGACGCUGAGGAGCGAAAGCGUGGGGAGCGAACAGG
RNAcentral lists this ribosomal RNA (253 nucleotides) under uncultured bacterium. RNAcentral describes it as "partial 16S ribosomal RNA". It matches the Rfam family "Bacterial small subunit ribosomal RNA", at positions 524 to 776 of the family's 1533-position model. The record is from RNAcentral.